AGAUGAUCCAGCGGCGAGUUACGAGGGGCACCGACUUUGAAAAUAGUCGUGUAAUAUGUCCAAGGACGUAUUACGUCCUCGACGAGAAGGAAAAACCACGAGAUGAGAUCCCUUCUCGUUGUUGAACGAGGGAGUAAUAAUAACGGCGGAGGGAAGGGUUGAUACGUAAAAACGAAUCUGCGGCGGUCUAUUCAGUGCGCAACAACACACAAGAUUUCCAAGGACUAAAUUUAUUCUCGCUAUUUCAACGAAAUUCACACGUACGAGUUGCUGCGUUAUAUCAUAUAUGUACAACACGAAUGGG
Molecule: long non-coding RNA, 304 nt
Organism: Venturia canescens
Lineage: Eukaryota; Metazoa; Arthropoda; Insecta; Hymenoptera; Ichneumonidae
Exons: 3
Source: RefSeq, a predicted model, not a curated record